GUGGUUGCAAAUUGCAAUCAGGGUUCAAAGAAAUAAUUACUACUUCUAUUUCUAAUUGUGUAUUUUCAGAUGGGAGCGUACUAAUGAUGGACUCGUUUUAUGCAGUAUGUAUACCACCACCGCCAGAUCCACCUAAUCCGAAUUUCUAAAACAGAAAAUCUAUAAUGCCAUUCGAUGUUAUUAAGAAAACAUUGUUUGACCACAAAAGCAGUAGUAUUUGGUAAUAGCAAUGAUUUACCUCUUGUAUGCAGUUUUGUGUAGUUUAUUUGUUUUCAGUUCUGUCACGUUAGUUCAUUUUUUGCAAUUUCAUUCUUUAGUAGGAUUAGAUUAAAGUGUACAUAAAUAAUUCCAACAAGGGGGAUAGGUAUGGUAAAUAGGUUUUGAAAAACUAAUAGUAAGCGAGCAAUGUUAUUAAAUCGUUUAACGAUAAAAAUGCAUAACAUAAAUUCUUUUAAAAGAGAAUUCAAACUUAGGGAACAGCAGCGGAACGAUACCAAUUAUACUAUAAAAUAAAAAAGGCA
Molecule: long non-coding RNA, 521 nt
Filed under: Mytilus galloprovincialis (Mediterranean mussel)
Lineage: Eukaryota; Metazoa; Mollusca; Bivalvia; Mytilida; Mytilidae
Source: RNAcentral